This is a long non-coding RNA of Bacillus rossius redtenbacheri, 1161 nucleotides long. RefSeq lists it as uncharacterized. The record is from RefSeq and is a predicted model, not a curated record. Lineage: Eukaryota; Metazoa; Arthropoda; Insecta; Phasmatodea; Bacillidae. The transcript is spliced from 2 exons.
AACUAUGUGAUAAGUGUUUUAAAUGAGAUGGUGUCAAUAAAGCUCUUCACUUUGACAAUUGCGAAAACUGUUCCACAUCGACCUGAUGAGAUAUCUACAAACUCAAAGUCUAUAUUCUUAACUCAUACACUACGCAACACACAGAUUGUGAUUCCACACAUUGUUCCUGAACACUGCAAGACAACAAAAUGAACAUUUUGACAUCAUCACUGGCAGUCAUAUUGAUGCUGCAGUGUGUCAAGAGCAUACCAUUGCUUUCCUUCAAGGACACAGAGGUACACACGUUCAAUAAAUGUGGACCAACUAGCAACUGCCUCCCAGGUGUUACUCCAGGUCAGGGUCACAACCAAAUCCAGACAGGAAGCUCGGGCCAUGGAAGCAACAUGGGCGAAGCAAGCAACUCAAAAAGCAAAUGCGGACCAACUAGCAACUGCCUCCCAGGUGUUACUCCAGGUCAGGGUCACAAACAAAUCCAGACAGGAAGAUCGGGCCAUGGAAGCAACAUGGGCGAAGCAAGCAACUCAAAAAGCAAAUGCGGACCAACUAGCAACUGCCUCCCAGGUGUUACUCCAGGUCAGGGUCACAAACAAAUCCAGACAGGAAGCUCGGGCCAUGGAAGCAACAUGGGCGAAGCAAGCAACUCAAAAAGCAAAUGUGGACCAACUAGCAACUGCCUCCCAGGUGUUACUCCAGGUCAGGGUCACAACCAAAUCCAGACAGGAAGCUCGGGCCAUGGAAGCAACAUGGGCGAAGCAAGCAACUCAAAAAUCAAAUGCGGACCAACUAGCAACUGCCUCCCAGAUGUUACUCCAGGUCAGGGUCACAACCAAAUCCAGACAGGAAGCUCAGGCCAUGGAAGCAACAUGGGCGAAGCAAGCAACUCAAAAAGCAAAUGUGGACCAACUAGCAACUGCCUCCCAGGUGUUACCCCAGGUCAGGGUCGUAACUAAGUUGACAGUAAACCAAAGACAUUUGACCUAUUUUGUGAAAUUCCUAAUGUGAUAAAACUUUCCAAAACAAUUGUUUUAGAUAAGCAAUUUCAGAAAUGAGUCUAAAUUUGGUAGUAUUAUACAAAUGUAACUUUAAACAAAUAUAAUUGUCACAUCAAUAAGGCUCUGUGUAAACAUAAAGCUCUAGUAAAAUUGUAUUUAGUUGUUGGUA